Molecule: ribosomal RNA, 287 nt
Filed under: Pantoea sp. January_NA2F6
Lineage: Bacteria; Pseudomonadati; Pseudomonadota; Gammaproteobacteria; Enterobacterales; Erwiniaceae
Description: partial 16S ribosomal RNA
Rfam family: Bacterial small subunit ribosomal RNA
Source: RNAcentral
CCCGCAACGAGCGCAACCCUUAUCCUUUGUUGCCAGCGCGUCAUGUCGGGAACUCAAAGGAGACUGCCGGUGAUAAACCGGAGGAAGGUGGGGAUGACGUCAAGUCAUCAUGGCCCUUACGAGUAGGGCUACACACGUGCUACAAUGGCGCAUACAAAGAGAAGCGACCUCGCGAGAGCAAGCGGACCUCACAAAGUGCGUCGUAGUCCGGAUCGGAGUCUGCAACUCGACUCCGUGAAGUCGGAAUCGCUAGUAAUCGUGGAUCAGAAUGCCACGGUGAAUACGUU